UAUCCUUUGUUGCCAGCGGUCCGGCCGGGAACUCAAAGGAGACUGCCAGUGAUAAACUGGAGGAAGGUGGGGAUGACGUCAAGUCAUCAUGGCCCUUACGACCAGGGCUACACACGUGCUACAAUGGCAUAUACAAAGAGAAGCGACCUCGCGAGAGCAAGCGGACCUCAUAAAGUAUGUCGUAGUCCGGAUUGGAGUCUGCAACUCGACUCCAUGAAGUCGGAAUCGCUAGUAAUCGUAGAUCAGAAUGCUACGGUGAAUACGUUCCCGGGCCUUGUACACACCGCCCGUCACACCAUGGGAGUGGGUUGCAAAAGAAGUAGGUAGCUUAACCUUCGGGAGGGCGCUUACCACUUUGUGAUUCAUGACUGGGGUGAAGUCGUAACAAGGUAACCGUAGGGGAACCUGCGGUUGGAUCACCUCCUU
Molecule: ribosomal RNA, 426 nt
Filed under: Klebsiella pneumoniae
Lineage: Bacteria; Pseudomonadati; Pseudomonadota; Gammaproteobacteria; Enterobacterales; Enterobacteriaceae
Also listed under: 1 other name
Description: bacterial SSU rRNA
Rfam family: Bacterial small subunit ribosomal RNA
Source: RNAcentral